CAGAGGAUUUUGCAAGCAGAGCACCUCUGCUGGCAGCAGCAGCCCAGGAUGGCAGCUGUCCUGAAGGAAAGGCAUGGGUUUGACACUGAGGAGAGUGGAGGGAAAGCUCAAAGGGUGAGAAUGGUCCCCAAAGUCUUCUUAAACUACUCAGCUCAUCCCAGAAGGAAGGAUGUCCAAUGGCUCUGUUCUUCAGCGCAUUCGUCAAGGCCAGCCACAGAGAAGGCUCUCAAUGGAAUGAUGUUCCUAGAGGGCGUGGAUACACCUCUACCAAGGCAUCUACAAAUGAACUGUAUUUACAUUUCUGUGGCUUUUUCUUUUGGUAAGUAGAACCUCAGUGAUGAUGGCUUUGAAGGGUGCGGCUGUGCACACCAAAGAAUGUCGCAGUCUUAUUUAAUGCCUUUAAUGUUCCCUAAAGAGGUAGUUUGUUUGUGCAUUUCAGCUCCAACUGCCUGGUUGAGAAGUAGGUUUGUUUGCUGCUGACAGUCCUGCUGACUUUUUGUAGGCCGUGCAUAGCUCACACGCAGGACUCUCUCAGUCAGACCUGCUCUUGCAUCUACAUGCAGCACACAAAAGGAGACCAUAGUUAACAAAGUCUUGGUGAAAACCAUUCAAGUGUCAUGUACCCACCAAAUAUGAACCCUGGAAUACUGCUUACUUUGUAGGCAAAAGCGCUCACAUAUACCUCAAUAGCAUCCUCUCUAGUAUAGAAUCAUGCUGUUUAGUGAUUCCAGUAUGGCACUCAGAAGCCACAUGCGGCUAUUGAGCAUGUGAAAUGUGGCCAGUCUGGUUUGAAAUGUGUUCAGUAUGAAAGCAUGCUAGAAUUCUAAAGACUUAGUAGGAAAACAAAUAAUGUAAAAUGUAUCAGUACUUUUUUGUAUGAGUUGCACGUUGAAAUGAUAAUAUUCUGGAUAGAUUGGGUUAAAUAAAAACAUACAAUUAGAAUUAAUUUCACUUGUUUCUUUUUCUAUUUUUAAUGUAGCUAUGAGAAAAUUUAAAAAUUACUUGCAUGUUUCAUAUUAUACUUCGAUUAGACACUACUGACUCAGAGUGAGUAUCAUAACGCUCAUUAAUUCCCUCGGCCAAUGUUUAUUGAGUGACUAACGUGAUAGAAUAAAGACACAAGCUGUGCUCUCAGAGGGCUGCCAUUCUAGGAGAGAGGCAGGUAUCUACAGGGCAAUAGCCCAGGGGUGAGGGUAGGAACGAAUAACAUGCUGAAUAACAGGGUGAGUGCUAUGGAAGCCCCAAGGAAAGGAAGACACUGGUGAAGAACAUAAUCAUGGAAGGCUUCGAGGAGAAGCUGAGUUUUAAAACACACAGGAAUUUUGGCAGUCCGAGGAAGUGAAGUCAGCAAUGUGUGAAGAGGUGCAGAUAUGGGGACAUGCCUGGCAUGUUUCAACAAACACAGGUAGUUCAGCGGGGUGCAGCUUUUAGAACAAACAGGAGAAUGAAUGGUGGAGAUGAAGCCAAGAAGAUAGGCUAAGAUUUCACCCAGAGACUUUGAACCUGAUGAGUUAGGCCUUGGAUCAGCAUUUUUGAUAGGCAUACCAGAUGCAGACCCCACUUUGAAAAAUGUUACUGCAGGUGAGAGGUGUUUAGUUUAGUUCAGCAGUGACAUGCCUGCAUUUAUGAAAGAUACUCUGAAAACAUAAGGAAGAUGUAGGGGGAGUGGUCUCCUGAAGGUGUAGACAGUGUCAGCUAUUUCAAUCAUCAAGGUGAAAAAUGAUGAAGAUCUGCCUUGGUCAGUUGGGGCCACUAUAACCAAAAUACUAUGGCCUGGGUGUCUUAAACAACAGAAACAUAUGCUUCACAAUUCUGAAGACUGGGACAUCCAAGAUCAAGAGGGUGGCUGAUUCUGGGGAGGGCUCUCUACCUAAAUUGCAGAGGGACACUUUCUUUAUGUGUCCUCACAUGGGGCAGUGAAACACACACACGCAUGCACGCACGCACGCACGCACACACACACAGGGGCAAUAUCUAGAGACAUUUUGAUUAUCAUGGAGAAUGCUACUGAAAUUUAUUAGGUAGAGGCUGAGAGGCUGAUACAUGUCCUAUAAAGCACAGGACAGAUUUCCUCCUCCAAGAAAGAGCUGUCUGGUCCAAAAUGUCAAUAGCAUUGUUGUGGUGAAACCCUGAUUUGGUCAAAGGAAGCUGUCUUGCCCAAUGUCACACUCCCUCCUAGGGCCAGUCCACAUCUAGUGCAGUGGUACAAAAACAUGGCCCCCCUUGCCUCAAUUUGGGAUAACUCAGAAGGGCUGUCCCAGCACCAGCAUUUUUUAUGGGAUUGGCUGAUGUCUCUAUUGCAACCACAUUGCAGUUCAACUUCUCCCUCUGUCCGAUCCUGCUUCCCUCACUUUCUUAUAAGUAUUGUUUCAAUAAUUUCUCCAAAAAACAGCCUGCAAGCAACUCUCUGAGAGUCUAUUUUCUGAAACCUGAUCUAAAACAGUUGGCACCAGGAAUGGUCCUAAGAUGCUGAUUGUUAAAUAGAAUUUUUAAAAAUUAUUUCAAUAGCAUUAGGGGUACACAUAGUUUUGAUUACACGGAUAAAUUGUAUAGUGAUGAAGUCUGGGAUUUUAGUGCACCCAUCAUCCAAAUACUGUACAUUGUACAAAAUUAGGGUAGUUUUUCAUCCCACGGCCCCCUCACAACCUCCCUCUUUCUGAGUUUCCAAUGUCCUUUAUAUCACUCCAUAUCUUUGCAUACCUGUAACUUAGCUCCCAUUUAUAAGUGAGAACA
Sapajus apella (tufted capuchin) is the source of this 2733-nucleotide long non-coding RNA. RefSeq lists it as uncharacterized. The transcript has 3 exons. The record is from RefSeq and is a predicted model, not a curated record. Lineage: Eukaryota; Metazoa; Chordata; Mammalia; Primates; Cebidae.